This is a small nuclear RNA of Vulpes vulpes (red fox), 101 nucleotides long. NCBI's taxonomy places the organism in Eukaryota, Metazoa, Chordata, Mammalia, Carnivora, Canidae. The record is from Ensembl.
GUGCUUGGUUUGGCAGCACAGAAAGUUGGAAAGACAGAGGGAAGAUUGGCAUGGCCCCUGCACAAGUAUGACAUGUACAUCCAGAAGCAUUCCAGUCUUUU